RNAcentral lists this ribosomal RNA (497 nucleotides) under uncultured bacterium. RNAcentral's name for it is "partial 16S ribosomal RNA". It matches the Rfam family "Bacterial small subunit ribosomal RNA", at positions 28 to 507 of the family's 1533-position model. The record is from RNAcentral.
GAUGAACGCUGGCGGCGUGCCUAAUACAUGCAAGUCGAGCGAACAGACGAGGAGCUUGCUCCUCUGACGUUAGCGGCGGACGGGUGAGUAACACGUGGAUAACCUACCUAUAAGACUGGGAUAACUUCGGGAAACCGGAGCUAAUACCGGAUAAUAUAUUGAACCGCAUGGUUCAAUAGUGAAAGACGGUUUUGCUGUCACUUAUAGAUGGAUCCGCGCCGCAUUAGCUAGUUGGUAAGGUAACGGCUUACCAAGGCAACGAUGCGUAGCCGACCUGAGAGGGUGAUCGGCCACACUAGAACUGAGACACGGUCCAGACGCCUACGGGAGGCAGCAGUAGGGAAUCGUCCGCAAUGGGCGAAAGCUUGACGGAGCAACGCCGCGUGAGUGAUGAAGGUCUUCGGGUCGUAAAACUCUGUUAUUAGGGAAAAAGAAAUGUGUAAGUAACUAUGCACGUCUUGACGGUACCUAAUCAGAAAGCCACGGCUAACUACGUG